AUCAUGGGAGAAACUGAGUCUCGUGGAAGAGGGACUGGAUUGUGCUGGGGAUGGACCUGAUGACCCUAUGGUGGUACUAGAUGAUACGGUAGAGGCACUAGAUUGUACUGUAGUUGUGCCGAGUGAUGCAGUUGGGGCACCGGGCCAUACUGUGGUGGUGCCGGAUGGUAUUGUGGAGGAGCAAGGUCAUACCAGGGUGGCUCAGGAUCCUCUUACUGCAGGGGUGGUUCAUAAUGUGGCAGCGAGGGAGGGUCAAGUAGCUUCCUCCUUUCUUCCCGGGCAUGCUGGGCAACGAUGAGUCUCUCUAGUAUUUUAAAUAGUCGAUGAAUAUCCUCUCGAAGCGAACCCUCCCGAGCUACUCGGUUUCGCAGGGGUCUUCCUCUCCUCAUCUAUUUGUACCUACAUUUCACAAG
Molecule: long non-coding RNA, 413 nt
Filed under: Carica papaya (papaya)
Lineage: Eukaryota; Viridiplantae; Streptophyta; Magnoliopsida; Brassicales; Caricaceae
Description: long non-coding RNA (CPAP_LNC008798)
Source: RNAcentral